This is a long non-coding RNA of Bubalus bubalis (water buffalo), 552 nucleotides long. RefSeq lists it as uncharacterized. The transcript has 3 exons. The record is from RefSeq and is a predicted model, not a curated record. Lineage: Eukaryota; Metazoa; Chordata; Mammalia; Artiodactyla; Bovidae.
GUGCAGCUCAACUUCUGAUCACUGGUCUCAAAUACUGCACCAAUUGCAGCCACAGGAAGAGGCCGCAGGUCAGGAGAAGGGAAGCCCACGUGUGCGCAGCCCACCGUGAGCCAGGCCCGCUGCUGGCGCCCUGACCCACGAUGCCCUUGGAUCCACACCAGGAACCAGGUUCCAUAAAGGCUUCUUGUGCGGACCCCCAACACCCUGGAUGCUGCAUCUGCCCCUCCCCCAGGUACUUAAGACAAGAGUUUGGCCCCUGUCACAGCUGAGUAGAUCUUCUGGGUCCGAGAAUCUCACUGGGGGAGAAUCAGAGUUUAGGAGCUCAGAGACCACUCGGCCGGCCGUCGCAGCUGGAAAGAGCAGCGUUGGCAAGUCGGUCCUGAGAUCCUGCUACAGGACGAAUACUCCCGUAGGUGCUGGGACGAGGUCAUGGAGAAAGCUGAUCACAUCCUUGACACAGUUACAUGGUUCCACUUCAGUGGCAGGAAGAGACCACUGGGAGGGCUACCCAGUAACAGUGCUAUGAGCUUCACAGACCUGGAACCACUCAUC